RNAcentral lists this long non-coding RNA (583 nucleotides) under Mus spicilegus (steppe mouse). RNAcentral's name for it is "lncRNA (ENSMSIG00000023298.1)". The record is from RNAcentral. Lineage: Eukaryota; Metazoa; Chordata; Mammalia; Rodentia; Muridae.
CGUAGGAUAUGUGAAGAAAAGUCAAAGAAAAUAGCAAUUGCAAAAUCAACUACCAAUGCUUUAAAUAUGUCAUGAUCUCAUACAAUUCAAUUAAAUGAACCUGAUGAAAAGGGGAUUAAAGAUGGUAUCUCAGAUCCAAACCAUAGCAAGUUACAGUCCGGAGUCAAACAAAUGUCUGUAAUAGUUUCUUGACAUGCCUUGGAGAAUCAAUGGUCUAUUAUUUAAAAGAGAAGAAAAGGAGCGGCCCAGCUCUAAAGAAAGCUUGCCAACCACUUGACUACGAGGACACUGAUUACCAAGAUGACUCGGCAUGCCCUGAAUGCCCACCCGAGGUCCAUUCCAGCUGUCCUGGCGAUCCCGUCCAAGAAGCAUCCCUACGAUGCAGCCAAAAGACUCCAUCCUGCACAGAGCCAAGGGACUGCAGGCAAAUAAGCAAUAUCCUGCCUCUUUGGCAAAUAAUGGAUCGUUUGGCUUCCUGAACUUCUGCAUGGAUUGUGUGUCUCUCCCUGCGUUUACUUAACAUCUUGAGCAGAAAUGAUGGAAUUAGAAUGAUUUCUUACUGGAAACCAAGCACAGAGAGGAG